UACGUAGGGUGCAAGCGUUGUCCGGACUUAUUGGGCGUAAAGAGCUCGUAGGCGGUUUGUUGCGUCGGCUGUGAAAUCCCGGAGCUCAACUCCGGGCCUGCAGUCGAUACGGGCAGACUGGAGUUCGGCAGGGGAGACUGGAAUUCCUGGUGUAGCGGUGAAAUGCGCAGAUAUCAGGAGGAACACCGGUGGCGAAGGCGGGUCUCUGGGCCGAUACUGACGCUGAGGAGCGAAAGCGUGGGGAGCGAACAGG
Molecule: ribosomal RNA, 253 nt
Filed under: uncultured bacterium
Lineage: Bacteria
Description: partial 16S ribosomal RNA
Rfam family: Bacterial small subunit ribosomal RNA
Source: RNAcentral